GACGAACGCUGGCGGCGUGGAUUAGGCAUGCAAGUCGAACGGUAUCAUCCUUUCGGGGGUGAGAGAGUGGCGAACUGGUGAGUAACACGUAGGUUAUCUACCCUCAAGACGGGGACAACCCAGGGAAACUUGGGCUAAUACCGGAUGUGAGCAACUUUUAGUUGUUUGAAAGGUGGCGUAAGCUGUCGCUUGGGGAUGAGCCUGCGUCCUAUUAGUUAGUUGGUGAGGUAACGGCUCACCUAGGCAAUGAUAGGUAGGCGGCCUUAACGGGUGGUCGCCCACACUGGGAUUGAGAUACGGCCCAGACUCCUACGGGAGGCAGCAGUCGAGAAUAGUCUACAAUGGUCGGAAGACUGAUAGUGCGACGCCGCGUGAACGAUGAAUCCCUUCGGGGUUAAAGUUCUUUUAUAUGUGAGCAGUGCUUUCUUAUAUUAACAGUAUGGGGAAGAGAUAUUAGCAUAUGAAUAAGCAACGGCUAACUCCGUGCCCAGCAGCCGACGGU
RNAcentral lists this ribosomal RNA (502 nucleotides) under uncultured bacterium. Its description in RNAcentral is "bacterial SSU rRNA". It matches the Rfam family "Bacterial small subunit ribosomal RNA", at positions 28 to 521 of the family's 1533-position model. The record is from RNAcentral.